Canis lupus familiaris (dog) is the source of this 673-nucleotide long non-coding RNA. RefSeq lists it as uncharacterized. The record is from RefSeq and is a predicted model, not a curated record. NCBI's taxonomy places the organism in Eukaryota, Metazoa, Chordata, Mammalia, Carnivora, Canidae. The transcript has 4 exons.
CGGCCUUGGGACGGUGGCUUGAGGGCCUGGGCUGCUGGGCCCCAGGAGCCUCCCCAAGCCCUUGGCUCUUACUCCGCCCCCCUCCCCCUCCCAGCUCUCAGGUCCCUCCCUAAGCACCCCAGCCUGGCCAGGAGCCCGCCCCUCCCGCUUGGUCCCUGUCAGAUCUGAUGAAGCACCUUGAGUGCUUUCUGAGUGCUGAAGAAGCCUUGCACCCCGGGGAUAAAGCCCACCGGGUCAUCAUCUGAAGAAGCACAUGGAGUGCUCUCCGAGUGCUGAAGCAGCCUUGCACCCCGGGGAUAAACCCCACUGGGUCAUGAAACACGAGGAGCAGAGACAAAUAAGCAAUCUUUUUCUGUCAAGGCUCAAAUGACAAAUGUCUGGUUCGUGGAACAUCUUACUGUGAAUAACUUUAGUUCAUCUUAUAAAUGUGUUGUGUUCUCGUCGAUAAAUCUAUACUGAAAGGUCAGGGGAGAGCAAGAGAACAAGAGGGCACUGGGUCCUUGAGGGCUGCGAUGUUAGGAAAGGAGGAAGGACACAGGAAGAGAAGCCUGGGAACUAAAGAAACCUUCAAAGGCUUUACAAGCAAGCACAAAUUGUAUAUUCAAUAUUCACUUAGGCAGGGGGUAAAUAAAAGGUCCUCACUGAAGUAUUUCUGGUCUCAUAGCUGCUACAA